RNAcentral lists this ribosomal RNA (353 nucleotides) under uncultured bacterium. Its description in RNAcentral is "bacterial SSU rRNA". It matches the Rfam family "Bacterial small subunit ribosomal RNA", at positions 917 to 1269 of the family's 1533-position model. The record is from RNAcentral.
GGGCCCGCACAAGCAGUGGAGCAUGUGGUUUAAUUCGACGAUACGCGAAGAACCUUACCAAGACUUGACAUCCGCAGAAUCUUCUAGAGAUAGAGGAGUGCCUUCGGGAACUGCGUGACAGGUGGUGCAUGGCUGUCGUCAGCUCGUGUCGUGAGAUGUUGGGUUAAGUCCCGCAACGAGCGAAACCCUUGUCUUAUGUUACCAGCACGUUAUGGUGGGGACUCAUAAGAGACUGCCCGUGGAAAGCGGGAGGAAGGUGAGGACGACGUCAAGUCAUCAUGCCCCUUACGUCUUGGGCCACACACAUGCUACAAUGGCCGGUACAAUGAGUCGCGAAGCCGCGAGGUGGAGCC